Molecule: transfer-messenger RNA, 389 nt
Filed under: Candidatus Saccharimonadota bacterium
Lineage: Bacteria; Candidatus Saccharimonadota
Also listed under: 1 other name
Rfam family: transfer-messenger RNA
About the family: Bacterial tmRNA, also known as 10Sa RNA or SsrA, is named for its dual tRNA and mRNA-like properties. Its role is to liberate the mRNA from a stalled ribosome.
Source: RNAcentral
GGGGCUGACUAUAGCUUUCGACAUGAGGAAUUUAACAGAUUGUUUUGCAAGUCGAACGUAGACGUAAUCUACACAAUAAUUGCAACAAAAUUGCAGAAGCUCGCAGCUGUAUUUAAUCCAUUUAAACUACAGCCUGUAGCUAUCGCUGCCUAAUAUAGGUACGCCAUGCGUUGUCCAACGUCUUAUAAGACAGCGCGUGUCAUAUGUAUAAGACUCGGUGCAUAGUGCCAUGACGACAUUGUGCAUUUAAACUUUUCGGCAUCCACACGCAGCAUAUGUUUGUUUCGUUUUGAGUGUUGUGCGUGGCUAACUUCUUGAAUGAAACUAAGCUUGUAGACGGACAAUCAGUUACCUUAUGGACGCGGGGGCAGUACCCGCCAGCUCCACCA